RNAcentral lists this ribosomal RNA (256 nucleotides) under uncultured bacterium. Its description in RNAcentral is "partial 16S ribosomal RNA". It matches the Rfam family "Bacterial small subunit ribosomal RNA", at positions 521 to 776 of the family's 1533-position model. The record is from RNAcentral.
UAAUACAGAGGGUGCGAGCGUUAUCCGGAAUUACUGGGCGUAAAGGGCGUGUAGGUGGUUUGUUAAGUUCGAUGUUAAAGCGUGAGGCUCAACCUCAUCACGGCGUUGAAUACUGGCAAGCUAGACGACUGGAGAGGAAAGCAGAAUUACCAGUGUAGCGGUGAAAUGCGUAGAUACUGGUAGGAAUACCCAUUGCGAAGGCAGCUUUCUGGACAGUUUGUGACACUCAGACGCGAAAGUGUGGGGAGCAAACCGG